This 458-nucleotide ribosomal RNA is filed under the name uncultured bacterium. RNAcentral's name for it is "partial 16S ribosomal RNA". It matches the Rfam family "Bacterial small subunit ribosomal RNA", at positions 338 to 795 of the family's 1533-position model. The record is from RNAcentral.
CCUACGGAUGGCAGCAGUGGGGAAUAUUGCACAAUGGGGGAAACCCUGAUGCAGCAACGCCGCGUGAGUGAAGAAGGAUUUCGGUUUGUAAACUUCUAUUCUCAGGGAAGAAAUAGCUGACUUUAGAUGGCGAGUCAGUCCCUGACUACGAAGCGCCAGCUAACUACGUGCCAGCAGCGGCGGAAAUACGUAGGGGGCAAGCGUUAUCCGGAUUUAUUGGGUGGAAAGGGAGCGUAGGCGGCAGCACAAGUCAGAAGUGAAAUGCCGGGGCUUAACCCCGGAACUGCAUUUGAAACUGUGCUGCUAGAGUGCAGGAGAGGGAGGUGGAAUUCCUAGUGUAGCGGUGAAAUGCGUAGAGAUUAGGAGGAACACCAGUGGCGAAGGCGGUUUGCUGGACUGUAACUGACGCUGAGGCGCGAAAGCGUGGGGAGCAAACAGGAUUAGAUACCCGAGUAGUC